Molecule: ribosomal RNA, 245 nt
Filed under: uncultured archaeon
Lineage: Archaea
Description: partial 16S ribosomal RNA
Rfam family: Archaeal small subunit ribosomal RNA
Source: RNAcentral
CCCCAGCGCCACGAGUGGGAGCCACGAUUAUUGGGCCUAAAGCGUCCGUAGCCGGCCUGUCAAAUCUCUUGUGAAAUCGACUCGCUUAACUUGUCGUCGAGCAGGAGACACUAAUAGGCUUGGGACUGGGAGGAGUCAGAGGUAUUCCUUGGGGAGCGGUAAAAUGCGAUAAUCCUUGGAGGACCACCUGUGGUGAAAGCGUCUGACUAGAACAGAUCCGACGGUGAGGGACGAAAGCCAGGGGA